CCUACGGGCGGCAGCAGUGAGGAAUAUUGGUCAAUGGACGAGAGUCUGAACCAGCCAAGUAGCGUGAAGGAUGACUGCCCUAUGGGUUGUAAACUUCUUUUAUAUGGGAAUAAAAUGUUCCACGUGUGGGAUUUUGUAUGUACCAUAUGAAUAAGGAUCGGCUAACUCCGUGCCAGCAGCCGCGGUAAUACGGAGGAUCCGAGCGUUAUCCGGAUUUUUUGGGUUUAAAGGGAGCUUAGGUGGAUUGUUAAGUCAGUUGUGAAAGUUUGCGGCUCAACCGUAAAAUUGCAGUUGAAACUGGCAGUCUUGAGUACAGUAGAGGUGGGCGGAAUUCGUGGUGUAGCGGUGAAAUGCUUAGAUAUCACGAAGAACUCCGAUUGCGAAGGCAGCUCACUGGACUGCAACUGACACUGAGGCUCGAAAGUGUGGGUAUCAAACAGGAUUAGAUACCCGUGUAGUC
This 460-nucleotide ribosomal RNA is filed under the name uncultured bacterium. RNAcentral describes it as "partial 16S ribosomal RNA". It matches the Rfam family "Bacterial small subunit ribosomal RNA", at positions 338 to 795 of the family's 1533-position model. The record is from RNAcentral.